This is a long non-coding RNA of Zingiber officinale, 5446 nucleotides long. RefSeq lists it as uncharacterized. Lineage: Eukaryota; Viridiplantae; Streptophyta; Magnoliopsida; Zingiberales; Zingiberaceae. The transcript is spliced from 7 exons. The record is from RefSeq and is a predicted model, not a curated record.
UGUCAGAUUAUUGUUAUUCACUUGUGUUUAUUUUGCACUAAACUUUUGUGUUUAAUAUAUUAAUUAAGAUGAUGUGUCAGCUGUGGGUACGGCUCUGAUUAACGCAUAAGUUAUACUUGUCAACAUAGACACUUUAUUUCUCAAGUCAGUCCAAUUCUACACUUACUUUCGCAGCCGAAUUCUACACUUACUUUCGCACCAGUAACCAUUGAGAAUCUACUUGUAAAUAUCUAUGGUGCAUACCAAUAUGUAAAUAUGUAUUAUACAAUGAAAUAUAUAGGUGGAACUAUAGAAGAAGACUAUCUAGUUCAAUUAAUUGAAUCUACCUAUUUACACUAACAACAUUGCUAGUAUGCUUAAAAUCUUCAAAUGUCAAAGAGUUUUUACCCUCCUUUACACCUUGCAGUUCCCCUCCAUGCCCUUCUAAUGAAAUUCAAUGAAGCUCCAAUUGUCAUUGAAUAAUUAAGUUUCUUUGUGAUUUAACAUUCUCUUAUUAGAUCUAUCUAGUUGUAAGUUGGUCGGAACUAUAUUGGUUUUGUUAGAGACACCGCUAGUUUAAUCCUUGCCAAUAGUUUGGUGAUAAUUAGUAUUCGUCAAGAAAAUACAUAUGUACACAUCCUAGCAAACCUUCCAGACAUAUCUCAAAUCUAGAGCUAACUGUCUCCAUGGAUUUUUAUCCUUGGUGGUUUGUCAUAGUGGUAACAUGUGACGCAAUCUUGUAUAAUUAGUUUGAUUUAAAAGCCAUUUGAAAUUGCCAUUUUAAGUUAGUGGUUGUACGUUUCUUAAGAAAUAUAAGGAUAGUUUAAAUUCAUUAUUUACUCAUACACACUAUAUACAACCACCAUCACCAAACCUUUAUUAUAGUAAGUGGGGUGAGCUAUAUGGAUCUGCUCGAUCCCUACUAUAUCUUUAUUUAUAUUUAAAUAAUUUUAUUUUGUUUUAUCGAUGCUAACAAAUUUUUUAUUGGUCUUCCUCUUCCUAUGUAUAUUUGUCUAAUCUAUCAUCGUCUAAUUUGUACAUUAAUUGAACAUAGUACAUGUCCGUGCCAUUUUAAAUGUGAUUUUAAGAGUUUUCCUUUAAUAGGCGCAAUCUCAAUUUUCUCUCAAAUAUUCUCGUUUUCCAUUCUCAUAUGUUUGCACAUCCACCUUAAUAUCCUCAUCUUUGUAAAUUUCAUCUUUUGUUCAUAUACCCGCUUCAUAGCACAAUAUUCAACUUCAUGUAACAUAGCAUAUUUAAUUGUCACUCUCUUAAGCUUUAUAGGUACCUUACAAUAAAAAAAAGAAGAAGAAGAAACAUUUGACACUCUCUUCCAUUUCAACUAUUCUACUUGUAUACUUGGAAAAAUAUCUCUAUCAACCACUCUAUCCUUUUGAAAAUACAAUUCUAGAUACUUAAAGCUCUCAAUAAUUUGUCAUCUCUUAAUAAUUGUCUUGUUAUGUUUGAUAUUACUAAACUUAGAGUUUAUAUGUUUUAUUUUUAUUCUACUAAGUCUAAAAUCUUUUCCUUUCAAUAAUUUUUAUUAAGAUUCGAACUUAACAUUUACUUCUUCAUCAUGUGUCUAAUUGGGCAAAAUAAUGUCACACAAUUUGCACCAUGAUAAUGUGUCCUCAAUGUGUCUAGUGAGUUCACUCAUAAUUAGUGUAAAAAGGUUUGGAGUUGGAGCUUAUCCUUGAUAUAACCUUAUAAUUUUUUUAAUUAUUCUGCCUACAUCCUCAUACAUACUCUUAAUUAUUUUAAUAUACAUAAUGCUAACACCUUUCUUUUUUAGAAUUCUUCUUAUAAUUUUCUUUAAGAUUUUGUUAUAAACAUUUUUGAGGUCAAUGAAUACAAUGUGUAAUUCUUACUUCUUUUCAUGAUAUUAUUCAAUCAAUUAUUUGAGAAUAUGUAUAAUUUCUUUCAUUGACCUUUUAGGCACUAAUCGAAAAUGAUUUUAGGUCACCUUAGAUACUUAAUCUUUUUAUAUUACUCUUUUUUCAAGUUUCAUGCUAUAACCCAUAGUUUAAUGCCCUUAUAAUUCAUAUAAUUUUGUAUAUAUCCUUUGCUUUUAUGUAGGAGAUUUGAGUAGCCCUCCAUUGAUCGGAUAUUUUGUUUGUUUUCAAUAUGAGGUUGAAUAACUUCUAAGUCAUUUAAUGCCCCGCUUCCUUAGUCAUUUCUAUAACUCUAUUGGAAUAUCAUUCAAUCUAAUUGCUUUCCCAUUUUACAUCCCAUUUAACAUAUGUUUUACUUUUGAAGUUUGAAUUCUCUGAUAAACAUUUAAAUUUCUAUCCUCCUUUGACUGCUAAGUUUUAAAGCUAAGUUGUCCACUUAAACUUUCAUUAAAGUGUACAUUUAGUCAAGUUAUUAAAAUGACAGCACUAGGACACUAACAGAACACCUAAAGCUAAAUUUAAAAUGACAGCACUAGGACACUAAUUAUCGAAAAACUAAAGAAAAAGGUGCCAGUGUACAUUUAGUCAAGUCAUUAAAUGUACACUAAGAAGGGUCUCAAGUCUAAAAUGAACCUAGCAAUAUAUGUCAUGCAAGCAAGUCAGUUGCCUUGGCAAAUCAAGGAUAUCAUGACAUGAAAGGUGUACCUAAGAAGUCUCGAAUUUAAGCUAGCAUUAGUACCUAAUCGGACAGUGUUGUAGAGGGCUUUUGCCAAGAAUAUCAUCUUGUCAUUGAGUCUGAUUCAUCUUGCUAGUGGUGCCUCAAACUUAUGGUAGAGAAGGAAGCUUGUCAAUGAUUGCAGGAUUUCAGGAAGAUCUACCACAAAAGAGAAAGGCUCUUCUAGUAAGAGGUUUGUGUUGGUUUCUAGGAAUUCAAGCUCCACAAGAGGCUGAAGGUUGAUUGUGUGAGCUGUUGGUUGCUGGGAAGAGCAGCAAAGAAAGGAUCACAGUGAAGAUACUAGUAGCAAGGAAGAAGUCUGUAGGUGGAAUUAAUGAGGUGUAGCUGGAGAUGUUGAUCUAGAAGCCUAAUCAGGAUGCUAAAAUGCAUAGAGAUUGAAUUGAAGCCAUAUCAAGCUUCGAGGAGAUAUUUGCCGAAAUGAAAUUAGCAGUGUAGUGGAGAAGAUUGAGGGCAAUAGAAGAGGUUUGUAUUGACCAAGACAUGGCUACAAGUUCAGCUUUUUCAAAGAUUUAAUGCAAGUAUCAACUCUGAUACCAUAUUGAUUUGGGAAAAUUAUCAAUGUUAAUUGGCAAGGUAGUCCUGUUUACCUAUAUAUUUGCAUAAUUGCAUAGCAUAUUGUAAGUCCCUAGAGAUUUGUAAGUAGGUCUCCAACAUAUUAGAAUGUUAUACUUUUGACGUUUCUGAUUAGUCAGUAUACUCGAUGCUAGUUAUACUAUCACUACGUGUAAAUAAAAAAUGCUUUCUGAUGGGUUUGCAAAGUGGCUAUCAUUUGUUAAUUAAUUCAGUGUAUUUGGUUUGAAUUUUGUGAUUCGAUUCAUAUGGGUUAAAUAUUAGCUGAUAUCUCCUAUAUUCUAGCUUUAGAUCCCUUUUAACCCUUCAUUUUCUACUCUUUUUAUUAUUCUAUAUACUAAUGAAAUUUUCUCUGGAUGCUGCUACUGUGGUUUGGUUUUUACGCUUUAAUUAUGCUGGUACAAACAAUUUUUUUUUUAAUCUUGGAAGUCUUGAAGCUUAUUUUUACCCUAAACUUACCCUAAAUCCUGAACUCUAUUAAGGUGCUUGGUACUGAGUUGUUAAUUAUUUCAGUUUUUACGGUAUUGAUAGAAAGGAUCUCCACAUUGUUUGUCACUUCAAUAUUCCAAAAUCAAUGGAAUUGUUUUAUCACAAAUCUUCCGGAGUAUAUUCUACCAUGGACUGGAUGAUUGCAAAAAGAUGGUGUUUAUACUAUACAUACUAGACAUCAUCUCCACUUAACACUUAGGUACAUGUGCUAGGAAUUCAUUCUACAUAAUGCCACUAUGAAAAAGAGAGAAUCUUCACUUCCCUCAGGUGGCUUGCCAGAGAAGUCUGUAGCUACAUUUACUCAGAUGGUGGAAUACUACGAAGGUUCUGGUUGUCAUAGGGGGGAGAUUCUUCCAAGUUUUGGCGAACAGGUGUCAACAUCUUUAUGUCAGAAAUCAUGUGAUUCAUGUAAACAACCAAGCAUAGUUGUACAACACCUAAAGGAUCUUGAGGGAAAAACUUACUCCCAGAAGGACAAGUUCUUUCCCAUUUUGACUAAAAGAAAUUGAAGCAUGGAGGAAGGUCGGGCCAUAGUUCAUGCUUCAGAACCCAUGUUAUCAUCAAUGAUGCCAAUCUGAAGAAUUUUGUUGACUUGAUAUAAAUAAAUCAUCCCAAUUUAUUCUGGAUGUCUUAAAUGGCACAUUGCAUUGAUUUGAGGAUGAAGGAAAUUGCAAGAUGGUGAAGAAGCUCUACCUACAUUCCUUUAGAAGGUCAACAUACUGAAUUUUGGAAUUGAGAAGAUGAUGACAGUUUCUUCGAGGAAGCAAUACCAGAUUCUGGAGGUUUCUCCGUCGCAGACUCGUUGAUGGUAUGCUCUAGCGAUGCGGUGGCUAGGUCUCUCGGCAUCUGUCAGGGUAUCCUUUAUCAAAGUACUUUAUCAUUGAUUUCUGGAGACCAAGUGGCUGAAUCCUCAGUUAUAGCAAAAUGCUGUGAUGGUUCACAGAAUAAUCCCAAGGGUAUUAUUGAACGAAUAUAUCCAUUGGGUGCAGCGAUUGGUAAACCAAAAUCUUCUACUGAGGGCAUCUCUCCUGCAAAAAUUGCACAAUCUGAGUGGAAGAGUUUGACAGAAAGUGAUAAUUCCUCCGAGUCUACUGCUAACACGAUGAGAAACUUUGAGCAGACAAUGCAAACAAACAUCAUGUGAUGGAACAAAAACUUGAGGUGUCACAGGAAACCUUGAAUCUGAGCAAAGCAGAGCUGGCCUUUACAUCUGGUGUCACUGCUAAAAAGUUGGGUAAUUUGGUUCGAUCUUCAGAGACCUCGGAGAGAUCCUCCACCAAUGUUGUUACAAACAACUGAAGUUUCGAAGUUAGCAGUAUCCCAAAAAGUUUCAGUAAAACCAUCUUCUUGUGCUUGAUCGAAAUUCUUUAUCUCAAAUGCUUCUGGCUGAUAGUAAUGAACUUCUUUAUCCCAAAAAGUUUCAGGGAUUGAAGAGGCUGUUGAAAUUUGACCGUAAAAGCAAGGGAGAGGCAAGUGCGUGACUGGUUGGUCUAGCCCGUCAAUUAAUUAUUCAGUAGAGGAUGAUGCAGAAGAUCUAAAAGCAGCUGAACCUUGAUACAUCCUCAACUUGCCCUCCACGAGAUGUAUUGUCCACCAUGAUGUAGAUUAAGAAAAUUUCUAUCAUUGUUUCUGCUCAUGCCGUGCUCUUGUACUUUUACAUCGAUCGUGCUAAUUCUAGUUUGGUCCUUAAAUUUAUAUUAAAAAUUGUGUUAUGCGGAGCAUAUAUGUAUUCUUGGAUUAUAUUCAUUAUCUUUAAAAAUAAGAUAUUAUUAGUGAGUGAUUA